UACGGAGGGGGCAAGCGUUAUUCGGAUUUACUGGGCGUAAAGGGUGCGUAGGCGGCCGCGCAAGUCUGAUGUGAAAUCUUCACCGCUCGACGGGAAGAGGUCAUUGGAUACUGCGUGGCUUGAAUGUGGUAGAGGCAAGCGGAAUUCCUGGUGUAGCGGUGGAAUGUGCAGAUAUCAGGAAGAACACCUGUGGCGAAGGCGGCUUGCUGGGCCAUUAUUGACGCUGAGGCACGAAAGCGUGGGGAGCGAACGGG
RNAcentral lists this unclassified non-coding RNA (254 nucleotides) under uncultured bacterium. RNAcentral describes it as "contains 16S-23S intergenic spacer region". It matches the Rfam family "Bacterial small subunit ribosomal RNA", at positions 524 to 776 of the family's 1533-position model. The record is from RNAcentral.